RNAcentral lists this long non-coding RNA (327 nucleotides) under Dermacentor andersoni. RNAcentral's name for it is "uncharacterized LOC126535521". Lineage: Eukaryota; Metazoa; Arthropoda; Arachnida; Ixodida; Ixodidae. The record is from RNAcentral.
CUACCACUAGACAGUGAUCUUCCAUUUCUUGACCUCAUUGUUUUCUUUGGAAGGACGCAAGCAUUGCUGAGGAGCCAUUUGACCUGCCGCCACACUAAUAUUGUAUUUGGCAAAGCCGAAGGCCUCUGCAAGCAGCCAGUCAUUCCAAGUCUCAACCAAUCCUUCCUCUAGUCAGCCAAUUUCUAGUGCAUGCGGAAAGGACUUGCGCAAGAGUGGACACGGGACACUAAAAAGGCGACAAGGACAGGCGUAAACUUCCAACCGGUGCUCAUUACAAAAAGGUAUGUAUAUGUACUCUUGCACACUUGAUCAUAAUCUGUUACAAUC